This 395-nucleotide ribosomal RNA is filed under the name uncultured bacterium. RNAcentral's name for it is "bacterial SSU rRNA". It matches the Rfam family "Bacterial small subunit ribosomal RNA", at positions 362 to 759 of the family's 1533-position model. The record is from RNAcentral.
UUCUGCAUGGCGCAAGUCUGACCGCUAUGCCGCGUGAAGGAUUAAGGUCCUCUGGAUUGUAAACUUCUUUUAUCUGGGACGAAAAAAGGUCUUUCUAGACCCCUUGACGGUACCAGAUGAAUAAGCACCGGCUAACUCCGUGCCAGCAGCCGCGGUAAUACGGAGGGUGCAAGCGUUACCCGGAUUCACUGGGUUUAAAGGGUGCGUAGGCGGGUAGGUAAGUCAGUGGUGAAAUCCUGGAGCUCAACUCCAGAACUGCCAUUGAUACUAUCUAUCUUGAAUAUUGUGGAGGUAAGCGGAAUAUGUCAUGUAGCGGUGAAAUGCUGGGGAUGGGACAUAGAACACCCAUUGCGAAGGCAGCUUACUACGCAUAUAUUGACGCUGAGGCACGAAAG